CCCUUAGAUGUUCUGGGCCGCACGCGCGUUACAAUGAAUCGUUCAACAGGUUUCUUCCUGAGUCGAAAGGCUUGGGUAAUCCUUUAAAUACGGUUCGUGCUAGGGAUAGAUUUUUGCAAUUAUUAAUCUCGAACGAGGAAUAUUUAGUAAACGCAGGUCAUCAGCCUGCAUUGAUUACGUCCCUGCCCUUUGUACACACCGCCCGUCGCACCAACCGAUUGGAUGUUUUGUUGAAAUAUGUGGAUGCUUGUUGGGUGAAUUCAUUUUUGCUUGAUAGACAGAAACGUAUUAAAACUGAAUAUCUAGAGGAUGGUGAAGUCGUAACA
This 326-nucleotide ribosomal RNA is filed under the name uncultured eukaryote. RNAcentral's name for it is "partial 18S ribosomal RNA". It matches the Rfam family "Eukaryotic small subunit ribosomal RNA", at positions 1470 to 1796 of the family's 1831-position model. The record is from RNAcentral.